RNAcentral lists this ribosomal RNA (1605 nucleotides) under Acetanaerobacterium sp. MSJ-12. RNAcentral's name for it is "partial 23S ribosomal RNA". It matches the Rfam family "Bacterial large subunit ribosomal RNA", at positions 1 to 1608 of the family's 2925-position model. The record is from RNAcentral. Lineage: Bacteria; Bacillati; Bacillota; Clostridia; Eubacteriales; Oscillospiraceae.
GGUCAAGCUAAUAAGGGCAGAAGGCGGAUGCCUUGGCACCAGGAGUCGAUGAAGGACGUGGUAAGCUGCGAUAAGCCUCGGGGAGAUGCAAGCAAUCUUUGAUCCGGGGAUUUCCGAAUGGGGAAACCUACUUAGGUUAAUACCUAAGUAUCUAUUACUCAAUCAAUAGGUAAUAGAAGACAUACCAGGGGAACUGAAACAUCUAAGUACCCUGAGGAAGAGAAAGAAAAAUCGAUUCCCUAAGUAGCGGCGAGCGAAAGGGGAUAAGCCCAAACCGAUAGGGUUUUCUCUAUCGGGGUUGUGGACCGGUCAUAUAUGAGGACUCAUCGUAAUAGAAGAGGUUUGGAAAGACUCACCAUAGAAGGUAAUAGUCCUGUACAUGAAACGAUGAUAUUCUAGACCGUGAUCCAGAGUACCACGAGGCACGUGAAACCUUGUGGGAAGCAGGGGGGACCACCCCCCAAGGCUAAAUACUACCUGGUGACCGAUAGCGCAUAGUACCGUGAGGGAAAGGUGAAAAGAACCCCGGAAGGGGAGUGAAAUAGAACCUGAAACCUUCUGCUUACAAACUGUGGGAGCACUUUUUAUGUGUGACCGCGUACUUUUUGUAGAACGGGCCAACGAGUUACGGUAUGGAGCAAGGUUAAGCACCUAUGGUGCGAAGCCGUAGGGAAACCGAGUCUUAAUAGGGCGUCUAGUUUCAUGCCGUAGACCCGAAACCGGGCGACCUACCCAUGGUCAGGAUGAAGCGGAAGUAAAAUUUCGUGGAGGUCCGAACCGAUUGACGUUGAAAAGUCACCGGAUGAACUGUGGGUAGCGGUGAAAUUCCAAUCGAGCCCGGAGAUAGCUGGUUCUCGCCGAAAUAGCUUUAGGGCUAGCCUCGAGGUUAAGAGAUACGGAGGUAGAGCACUGAAUGGUCUAGGGGCCUUCACCGGUUACCAAAACCUAUCAAACUCCGAAUGCCGUUAUCUUUUACUCGGGAGUCAGACUACGAGUGAUAAGAUCCGUAGUCAAGAGGGAAAGAGCCCAGACCAUCAGCUAAGGUCCCAAAGUAUACGUUAAGUGGAAAAGGAUGUGGAGUUGCAUAGACAACCAGGAUGUUGGCUUAGAAGCAGCCAUUCAUUCAAAGAGUGCGUAAUAGCUCACUGGUCGAGUGAUUCUGCGCCGAAAAUGUCCGGGGCUCAAACGUAUCACCGAAGCUAUGGAUCCGUAAGGAUGGUAGGCGAGCGUUCUAUAUAGGUUGAAGCUGUACCGGAAGGAGCAGUGGACUGUAUAGAAGUGAGAAUGUUGGCAUGAGUAACGAGAGGCAGGUGAGAAUCCUGCCCGUCGAAAACCUAAGGUUUCCUGAGGAAGGCUCGUCCGCUCAGGGUUAGUCGGGACCUAAGCCCAGGCCGAAAGGCGUAGGCGAUGGACAACAGGUUGAAAUUCCUGUACCACCUAGAAUCGUUUGAGAGAUGGAGUGACACAGUAGGAUAGGCUCAGCGCACCGUUGGUUGUGUGCGUCUAAGCUGGUAGGGAGUUAAAAGAGGCAAAUCCCUUUUAACUUAAUCCUGAGAAGUGAUGGGGAGCGAAAUUUAAGUAGCGAACUGGCUGAUUCCACACUGU